This 315-nucleotide ribosomal RNA is filed under the name uncultured eukaryote. RNAcentral's name for it is "partial 18S ribosomal RNA". It matches the Rfam family "Eukaryotic small subunit ribosomal RNA", at positions 1470 to 1796 of the family's 1831-position model. The record is from RNAcentral.
CCCUUAGACGUUCUGGGCCGCACGCGCGCUACACUGACCAGUGCAACAAGCAUCCGUCCUUGGCCGACAGGCCCGGGCAAUCUUUGAACGCUGGUCGUGAUGGGGAUGGACUUUUGCAAUUUUUGGUCUUCAACGAGGAAUUCCUAGUAAACGCAAGUCAUCAACUUGCAUUGAUUACGUCCCUGCCCUUUGUACACACCGCCCGUCGCACCUACCGAUUGAAUGGUCCGGUGAAGCCUCCGGAUUGGCGCGCACCUCGGUGCCGCCGAGAAGUUGGCUAAACCUUACCAUUUAGAGGAAGGUGAANUCGUAACA